GUAUUACUCCCUCCCUUCCAAAAUACUUGACUUUCGUUUGUUCAAAAAUGGAUGUACCUAUAUACUAAAACAUGUCUAGAUACAUCUACAUUUUGACAAAUGAAAGGCAUGUAUUGUGGAACGGAGAGAGUAUUAU
Non-coding RNA from Triticum aestivum (bread wheat), 136 nucleotides. The record is from Rfam. Lineage: Eukaryota; Viridiplantae; Streptophyta; Magnoliopsida; Poales; Poaceae.